This 183-nucleotide long non-coding RNA is filed under the name Mustela putorius furo (domestic ferret). Its description in RNAcentral is "lncRNA (ENSMPUG00000024925.1)". Lineage: Eukaryota; Metazoa; Chordata; Mammalia; Carnivora; Mustelidae. The record is from RNAcentral.
GUUGUCUUACCUCGGUGCGGCGGAGGCGCUGGGCGCCGGUGAGAGAGGCCGCAGGAAGGAGCCGCGUGGGACCCCGGCCUGCGCCCAGUCAAUCUGAUUCUGGUUUCAAACCCAAAGUCCACACACCGAGUUGAAGAAGAAUCCCUUUGAAUCUGGAGCAGGACUUAGUCACCUUAAAUGUCC